Long non-coding RNA from Corvus hawaiiensis (hawaiian crow), 1773 nucleotides. RefSeq lists it as uncharacterized. The record is from RefSeq and is a predicted model, not a curated record. The transcript has 2 exons. Lineage: Eukaryota; Metazoa; Chordata; Aves; Passeriformes; Corvidae.
GGCAAAACAGGUUCCAAACUUAAAACAGUAUAAAGAAGAUUUAUAAUUGACAGAAUUAAAAGGAUAAUAAGAACUAAAGCAAACUUUCAGAACACCUUUCUUCCCCAGUCCCUUCCUCUUUCCACCACCUGCAUAAGGAAAACAAACAUGGGGUUUUGAUCAGUAUUUCAUUUCUUAAGAGUCUUUUUUUAUGUUUAAGGAAAAGUUUCUUCUGCUGUGCUGUAGGAUCCUUCCCACAGGAGCUAGUUCUCAGUGAACUUUUCUAGCGUGGUUUCAACCUUCACAAGCAACAGCCUCCCUGAACCUGCUGCAAUGUGAAAAUCCCUCUCAUGGGUCAUGCAGUCUUCCGACAACUGCCUAGCGUGGGUCAUAGUAGUUCAUGGGGUUUAGUCUUUUAAGGAUAAGCUGUUCCAGUUUGGAAGCAAAGGCUCUCUUCUUCUAUCUCUAAAAGUAAGGAUCAUCUCUCUCUGUUCAAGUUCUUUAUUAGAUCACAGCCUCUCAGCAUCUACGCGCUCCAGCAUGAGCACUCCUCAUGGGCUGCGCGUGGAUCUCUGCACCCCUUCCCGUGCACUUCAUGAAUUAUAGGGAAGCUGCUGUAUUACAGUCCUCACCAGCGCUUGCAGGAGAAUCUCAGCUCUGGUGCCUGAAGCGCCUCCUCUCUCUCCCUUCCCCACCGACUUCAGUGUUGCCAUGUUGGCCUUCCUCACGUGACCUCACUUUCCCUUUUUCUCUGACUUGGAAGAAAAUUGGUGUCUGUAAGUUGCAGUUGAGAAGCGGAUCUUGUCCGGGCUCUGCAUUGGGGAAAUACUCGCCAUGUCUCUCGCUGCUGGCUGCGUGGUGUUUCUGCCUGGUUCCACACGGGCCGCGCCGGCCUCAGGAGGGGGCGCUGGGAUGGUCCCUCCCAGUGGCACAGUCCCGGCCGCUGCGCCGGGAGGUCCCAGCAGCCCUUUUCCAGGAAGGGGCCUGCCCCCCGCCACCCCUUGCAGGGAAGCAAGAAAAAGAACUUUUCCCAGUUUCUUCUUUCUUAAAUAUGUCAUCACAGAGGCGUUACCAGUUUGUCUGAUUGGUCUAGUAACCUGCCCAUUGUCAGAGCUUUCAGCAAUUGGCUCUGCGCCGGACACAGAAGUUUUGAGUUCUCCUGCCCCCACAAACCAAGUUUUGUUAAACCAGCACACGAAUGAAACUGAAAUCAGGGCGGUAGUGGCCAGUCUUUACUCUUCUAAGACUGGACUUCAUUUAAUGCAGGCUGUAGAAAGCAAUCUGUAUUGACUCCCAAGCUACUAUGAGCACGGAAGUGCUGUAUUUGGUAUGCCCUCUUGAGUCAAAUACUAGUUGAAUUGAAAAGUGUGGUAACAUGACUACCUGUACUUUUGCUGGUUUAUUCAAAAAAAUAAAAACUAGUAGUCUAGUGUUUCUGUGCUGCUUCUAUAGUCCAAACAGUUCUUUAUCCAAAGCUAUUGUGGCUCUACAUUUUCCUUAGUAUAUAUUUAAAGACUUUAUUUCAAUGUAGCUGAUGAAAUUUAUUUGUGAAGGAUUUGUUGGUGAUUAUUUGUUUCACAACUUCUAUGGGCUUUUUUCAGUAAGACGACAGAGUGAAUAGCAACACCCAGGAAGAAAACUAUGUCCUUUUGAAUUAUGGUUGUUUUUCUAUUAUUGUUAAUUUUGAAUUUCAAUAACAUAGCUAAGAAGACUUAUGUUAGUGCUGUAUCAAUAGCAUAAAGCCUGUGCUCUAACAGAUCUGCUGAGAAUAAAGAAUUACUGGGUAUGAUGGCC